MicroRNA precursor from Prunus persica (peach), 122 nucleotides. The record is from Rfam. Lineage: Eukaryota; Viridiplantae; Streptophyta; Magnoliopsida; Rosales; Rosaceae.
AGGCGUGUGGUGCAGCCAAGGAUGACUUGCCGGCAAUACUUAGCUUGUCAUUCUCCAAUGCAUGCAUGUUGUUGUGAGAAUGAGCUGAUCGGCAAGUCGUCUCUGGCUACAUUAUUGCCUCC